CAAUUAUUGUUAUUUUAACCAUCAAUAUGGUGGCAUUGGAACAGACAGAUCAUGAUGGACUUUUCAUAUACAGGGAAGAGAGAAAGUUGAUGAUGAAAAUGAUGGAGUUACUAAUGACAGCAAAAUAACAGAUGAGGAGUUUAACGAGAGCUUUGCUGAUAAACAUUGAAUUAUGAAAUGAACAUCAAAAAGUGUUGAUAGAAAAUAUGUGUUUCAUUUACCA
This is a long non-coding RNA of Amphimedon queenslandica, 223 nucleotides long. RefSeq lists it as uncharacterized. NCBI's taxonomy places the organism in Eukaryota, Metazoa, Porifera, Demospongiae, Haplosclerida, Niphatidae. The record is from RefSeq and is a predicted model, not a curated record. The transcript is spliced from 3 exons.